UUUCCGUAGGUGAACCUGCGGAAGGAUCAUUAUUGUAUAACCGAGGUGCGAGGGCUGUCGCUGACCCGAAAGGUCGUGCACGCCCGAGUGCCCUCACACACAUCCAUCUCACCCCUAUGUGCACCACCGCGUGGGUCCCCCUUUGGCUUGUUCGGAGGGGGGCUUACGCUUUCACACAAACUUUGUAUGCAGUGUAGAAUGUAUUUUUUGUUUUUGCGAUCACGCAAUCAAUACAACUUUCAACAACGGAUCUCUUGGCUCUCGCAUCGAUGAAGAACACAGC
Molecule: unclassified non-coding RNA, 283 nt
Filed under: plant metagenome
Description: partial contains small subunit ribosomal RNA, internal transcribed spacer 1, and 5.8S ribosomal RNA
Rfam family: 5.8S ribosomal RNA (bases 235-283)
Source: RNAcentral